Molecule: ribosomal RNA, 695 nt
Filed under: uncultured bacterium
Lineage: Bacteria
Description: bacterial SSU rRNA
Rfam family: Bacterial small subunit ribosomal RNA
Source: RNAcentral
UAACGCGUGAGGAACCUGCCUCAAAGAGGGGGACAACAGUUGGAAACGACUGCUAAUACCGCAUAAGCCCACGGCUCGGCAUCGAGCAGAGGGAAAAGGAGCAAUCCGCUUUGAGAUGGCCUCGCGUCCGAUUAGCUAGUUGGUGAGGUAACGGCCCACCAAGGCGACGAUCGGUAGCCGGACUGAGAGGUUGAACGGCCACAUUGGGACUGAGACACGGCCCAGACUCCUACGGGAGGCAGCAGUGGGGAAUAUUGCACAAUGGGGGAAACCCUGAUGCAGCGACGCCGCGUGGAGGAAGAAGGUCUUCGGAUUGUAAACUCCUGUUGUUGAGGAAGAUGAUGACGGUACUCAACAAGGAAGUGACGGCUAACUACGUGCCAGCAGCCGCGGUAAAACGUAGGUCACAAGCGUUGUCCGGAAUUACUGGGUGUAAAGGGAGCGCAGGCGGGAAGACAAGUUGGAAGUGAAAUCCAUGGGCUCAACCCAUGAACUGCUUUCAAAACUGUUUUUCUUGAGUAGUGCAGAGGUAGGCGGAAUUCCCGGUGUAGCGGUGGAAUGCGUAGAUAUCGGGAGGAACACCAGUGGCGAAGGCGGCCUACUGGGCACCAACUGACGCUGAGGCUCGAAAGUGUGGGUAGCAAACAGGAUUAGAUACCCUGGUAGUCCACACUGUAAACGAUGAUUACUAGGUG